RNAcentral lists this ribosomal RNA (495 nucleotides) under uncultured bacterium. RNAcentral describes it as "bacterial SSU rRNA". It matches the Rfam family "Bacterial small subunit ribosomal RNA", at positions 8 to 526 of the family's 1533-position model. The record is from RNAcentral.
AGAGUUUGAUCCUGGCUCAGGACGAACGCUGGCGGCGUGCUUAACACAUGCAAGUCGAGCGCUGAAGCCUUCGGGUGGAUGAGCGGCGAACGGGUGAGUAACACGUGGGUGACCUGCCCUUCACUCUGGGAUAAGCCUGGGAAACUGGGUCUAAUACCGGAUAUUCACUUUUCCUCGCAUGGGGGUUGGUGGAAAGUUUUUUCGGUGGGGGAUGGGCCCGCGGCCUAUCAGCUUGUUGGUGGGGUGAUGGCCUACCAAGGCGACGACGGGUAGCCGGCCUGAGAGGGCGACCGGCCACACUGGGACUGAGACACGGCCCAGACUCCUACGGGAGGCAGCAGUGGGGAAUCUUGCGCAAUGGGCGAAAGCCUGACGCAGCAACGCCGCGUGGGGGAUGAAGGCUUUCGGGUUGUAAACCCCUUUCAGCAGGGACGAUUGCGACGGUACCUGCAGAAGAAGCCCCGGCCAACUACGUGCCAGCAGCGGCGGUAAUAC